CGAUUCCCCUGAAGUGUGCUUUCUAAACCUCAACAGUAACGAUGAGAUAUACAAUAAAACAUAAUAAGUUUUCGUAAAGGAGGUCAUCUUCCCUGUUGUGCGUGUUGCAGGUGUUCACUCUGAACUUGGCGUUGCUGGAGUGCGUCUACAGUUUGCUCUCGUUCCUGCGACCGCUCAACUAUUACUUCAUCAAACAUGCUUUUCUCUACACGUUCAACCUCUUCUUCUACGGUCUGCUCAGCGCAGGUGAGGAAAUAAUAACUUUAACUUACGUUUCAAACACAGUAAAUAUAGAAGCUUGUGUUCGCUAUGAGACUUUUUGUAAACGCACUAUUUGCACAUCUUUUAACUCAAUGCAUUUAAAUGUAAGUAUCUGGAAAGUUUAUGUUUGAGUUGUUUGAUAUGUUCGUGUUUUUAUCAUUUAUGUCUUCAUAUCUCGUAUUUUACAUACUCAAUAGAUAUAAAUGUAUCUUAUUUGUAUUAUUUACUGUCACACAUGAAUUUGGGAUCAAUAAAGUUCAUCUAUGGAUUUAAAAGCAUUCUCUGUAAAACUUAAAGUGCAAUCAAACAAAUGUUCCUCCAUGAACACUUAACUUCUCACCUCCUCCUGUGUGUCCGCAGGGCAGCCUCUGUUCCAGGCGUGUGUGUGUGUGGAGAGAUACCUGGCCGUGGUGCAUCCCGUGUCCUACCUCAGGUUUAAAGACAACACACACGCUGCUUGAACACAAUGCUUCCAGGUAUGUAACACAUCUUCCGUGUGUCUCUCAGGUGGAACUCCGUGCGGCCUCGUCUCUGCGCGCUGCCUCUGGUUUGGGGUUUGACUUUCGUCUUCUGUGUUUGCAACGUCUUGAAGUUGGUCUUCGUCUUCCCGGUCGUGUUCCUGCUGCUGCUGCUGCUGCAGGGUCUCUGCUGCGUGCGCAUCCUGCAGGUCCUGCGUCAGCCCGGUCCAGGUGACGGCAGCAAACAGGAAGUGGAUCCAGCCAAGAAACAGGCCUUCGUGACAGUUCUGGUCAUUCAGGUGAUGAUGGUGUUGAACUACCUGCCCACGGUGCUGGCGGUGCCGCUGCGAGGUCGCCUGCGUCGGCACGCUUACCUGUGUCAACUGAUUCCUGCCUCACUCUCUUUCUCCGUGUUCGGCAGCUUCAUCCAGCCCCUCAUGUACCUGAUGAGGAGGGGGAAGUUACCCUGCAGGGCCAAAGCUUAACCUCCUGACUGUAGGACAGUCUUCUCCACAUUUAGGACGUUAAUGUCUUGAUAUCUUAUUUACAAACACUUCAAUAAAAUGUUUU
This 1289-nucleotide long non-coding RNA is filed under the name Cottoperca gobio. Its description in RNAcentral is "lncRNA (ENSCGOG00000022902.1)". The record is from RNAcentral. Lineage: Eukaryota; Metazoa; Chordata; Actinopteri; Perciformes; Bovichtidae.